This 465-nucleotide ribosomal RNA is filed under the name uncultured bacterium. RNAcentral describes it as "partial 16S ribosomal RNA". It matches the Rfam family "Bacterial small subunit ribosomal RNA", at positions 28 to 507 of the family's 1533-position model. The record is from RNAcentral.
GACGAACGCUGGCGGCGUGCUUAACACAUGCAAGUCGAACGGUAAGGCUCCAGCUUGCUGGGGUACACGAGUGGCGAACGGGUGAGUAACACGUGGGUGACCUGCCCUGCACUUCGGGAUAAGCCUGGGAAACUGGGUCUAAUACCGGAUAGGACCGCACCGUGAGGGUGUGAUGGAAAGUUUUUUCGGUGUGGGAUGGGCCCGCGGCCUAUCAGCUUGUUGGUGGGGUAAUGGCCUACCAAGGCGGCGACGGGUAGCCGGCCUGAGAGGGUGGACGGCCACAUUGGGACUGAGACACGGCCCAGACUCCUACGGGAGGCAGCAGUGGGGAAUAUUGCACAAUGGGCGGAAGCCUGAUGCAGCGACGCCGCGUGGGGGAUGACGGCCUUCGGGUUGUAAACUCCUUUCACCAUCGACGAAGGGUUUCUGACGGUAGAUGGAGAAGAAGCACCGGCUAACUACGUG